AGCAGCCGCGGUAAUUCCAGCUCCAAUAGCGUAUAUUAAAGUUGUUGCAGUUAAAAAGCUCGUAGUUGAAUUUCGGGACCAAUAUGUCGGUCGUGCUUCGGUACGUACUUGCAUUAUUGGUUUCUCCCUUCUGAAGAACCAUGAUGUCAUUAAUUUGGUGUCUUGGGGAAUCAGGACUGUUACUUUGAAAAAUUAGAGUGUUUAAAGCAGGCUCACGCUUGAAUACAUUAGCAUGGAAUAAUGAAAUAGGACGUUUGAUUCUAUUUUGUUGGUUUCUAGGAUCGACGUAAUGAUUAAUAGGGAUAGUUGGGGGCAUUAGUAUUCAAUUGUCAGAGGUGAAAUUCUUGGAUUUAUUGAAGACUAACUACUGCGAAAGCAUUUGCCAAGGAUGUUUUCAUUAAUCAAGAACGAAAGUUAGGGGAUCGAAGACGAUCAGAUACCGUCGUAGUCUUAACCAUAAACUAUGCCGACUAGGGAUCGGAUGAUGUUAUUUUUGAUGA
This 500-nucleotide ribosomal RNA is filed under the name uncultured fungus. Its description in RNAcentral is "SSU rRNA". It matches the Rfam family "Eukaryotic small subunit ribosomal RNA", at positions 569 to 1074 of the family's 1831-position model. The record is from RNAcentral. Lineage: Eukaryota; Fungi.